RNAcentral lists this ribosomal RNA (801 nucleotides) under uncultured Myxococcales bacterium. RNAcentral's name for it is "bacterial SSU rRNA". It matches the Rfam family "Bacterial small subunit ribosomal RNA", at positions 8 to 796 of the family's 1533-position model. Lineage: Bacteria; Pseudomonadati; Myxococcota; Myxococcia; Myxococcales. The record is from RNAcentral.
AGAGUUUGAUCCUGGCUCAGGACGAACGCUGGCGGCGCGCUUAACACAUGCAAGUCGUACGGGAUCGGGGUUUCGGCCCUGGUUCAGUGGCGAACGGGUGCGUAACACGUGGGCGACCUGCCGAGGCGCGGGGGACAACCCGGGGAAACCCGGGCUAAUACCGCAUGUGCUCCGCGAGCUUCAUGGCUUGCGGAGGAAACCUGCUUAACAGCAGGGUGCUUCGAGGGGCCCGCGGCCUAUCAGCUUGUUGGUGGGGUAGUGGCCUACCAAGGCGACGACGGGUAGCCGGCCUGAGAGGGUGACCGGCCACACUGGGACUGAGACACGGCCCAGACUCCUACGGGAGGCAGCAGUGGGGAAUCUUGGUCAAUGGGCGCAAGCCUGAACCAGCGAUGCCGCGUGAGUGAUGAAGGCCUUCGGGUUGUAAAGCUCUGUGGGGAGGGACGAAAGAAUCGGUUCUAACAGGACCGAAGUUGACGGUACCUCCUUAGCAAGCACCGGCUAACUCUGUGCCAGCAGCCGCGGUAAGACAGAGGGUGCAAACGUUGCUCGGAAUCACUGGGCGUAAAGGGCGUGUAGGCGGGAAGGUAAGUCGGGCGUGAAAUCCCUGGGCUCAACCCAGGAACUGCACUCGAAACUACUUUUCUUGAGUGCCGGAGAGGAAAGCGGAAUUCCUGGUGUAGAGGUGAAAUUCGUAGAUAUCAGGAGGAACACCAGUGGCGAAGGCGGCUUUCUGGACGGUAACUGACGCUGAGACGCGAAAGCGUGGGGAGCAAACAGGAUUAGAUACCCCAGUAGUCC